UACGGAGGGUGCAAGCGUUAUCCGGAUUCACUGGGUUUAAAGGGUGCGUAGGUGGGUUGGUAAGUCAGUGGUGAAAUCUCCAGGCUUAACUUGGAAACUCCCAUUGAUACUAUCAAUCUUGAAUACCGUGGAGGUCAGCGGAAUAUGUCAUGUAGCGGUGAAAUGCUUAGAUAUGACAUAGAACACCAAUUGCGAAGGCAGCUGGCUACACGAAUAUUGACACUGAUGCACGAAAGCGUGGGGAUCAAACAGG
RNAcentral lists this ribosomal RNA (253 nucleotides) under uncultured bacterium. Its description in RNAcentral is "partial 16S ribosomal RNA". It matches the Rfam family "Bacterial small subunit ribosomal RNA", at positions 524 to 776 of the family's 1533-position model. The record is from RNAcentral.